CCCUGGGUGACCAAGAACGCGGUGGGCACGCGGGAGACCACAGCCAGUAUUUAAAGGCCGCCGCUGCCCUCGCCACCACAGUCCUGCCAGGACGGCGACAGUGAAGCACCUGGGUUGAGAGGGAGCAGCAGUGCUAUGGAUCUUCCUCAGAAGAACAUGAAGUUGCUUCUGUGGAACUGGUUAUCUGCCAUGGCCUCAACAAUCCAUAAUCCAGUCAUGGAGAGGAUUCCCCAUGGUCAGAAGUCAACUUGCACAUCUAGUUAAAGUCCAAGUACCUACCUCAUGGAUGAAAUGAGAUUGUAAAGACUAAGUGAGAAAAUAGUUACCAAGCACUCCGAACAGUGGCAUUCAAUACCUUCUAGUUACAAAUUUCCUUGAACUGGGAGAUUAUAAUAUAGGAUGGCAAGCUGAGGUCAAGACUAAGUGGCUGUAUAUGUUCCCCUGGCAACCCCCAGUGGAUUUUUCCAAAAUCAAUGUUCAUCUUUUUUUUAAAAAGAAUAAUGAGUAUUUAAUGUUUUCCCUUAGUCUUAAAAAAGUUUUGUGAAUUCUACAUUAUUUCCUGAACAAAUAUUUAAAUACAAAACAAAUUUAAUAAAAUAGCUUACUUUUCUCUCC
Molecule: long non-coding RNA, 615 nt
Organism: Gorilla gorilla gorilla (western lowland gorilla)
Lineage: Eukaryota; Metazoa; Chordata; Mammalia; Primates; Hominidae
Exons: 4
Source: RefSeq, a predicted model, not a curated record